This 253-nucleotide ribosomal RNA is filed under the name uncultured bacterium. Its description in RNAcentral is "partial 16S ribosomal RNA". It matches the Rfam family "Bacterial small subunit ribosomal RNA", at positions 524 to 776 of the family's 1533-position model. The record is from RNAcentral.
UACGAAGGGGGCUAGCGUUGUUCGGAAUCACUGGGCGUAAAGGGCGCGUAGGCGGCCGAUUAAGUCGGGGGUGAAAGCCUGUGGCUCAACCACAGAGUUGCCUUCGAUACUGAUUGGCUUGAGACCGGAAGAGGUCAGUGGAACUGCGAGUGUAGAGGUGAAAUUCGUAGAUAUUCGCAAGAACACCAGUGGCGAAGGCGGCUGACUGGUCCGGUUCUGACGCUGAGGCGCGAAAGCGUGGGGAGCAAACAGG